This is a non-coding RNA of Phasianus colchicus (ring-necked pheasant), 454 nucleotides long. NCBI's taxonomy places the organism in Eukaryota, Metazoa, Chordata, Aves, Galliformes, Phasianidae. The record is from RefSeq and is a predicted model, not a curated record.
GUUGCCACGUUGUGUGUUUUGGGUGCAGAACAGCCAGUCUCUGCUUCUCAGGCAGGAAAAAAAGCACAAAAGCAUUUGUGUAGUGGGAGGGAUGCCCGGUUACAAUUCUUUGAGCAGAGUGGUACUUUGGUUCCACCAUCAGCUGUCAUCAAGCCUUGCCCUGUUUUUUAAUGGGAAGCCAGCCUGGGGGAGGCAAGAGUGCAGGUUUUGGCCUUGAACUGGCCUUGGGAAGGUAAGACCUUAGAAAGGACACAAUAAGGGGAGGAGGAACCGAAAGCUGUCUCUGUUGUGUGUACCUGUGAGAAUGCCAAGACUGAAACGUUCAGUUCCAGGUCUUCGCUGUGCCAUCCUGUGCUCUGCUCAUUUCCUGCCCUGGCUGACAAGCAGUAAAGAGUAAUGAGGUUAACCAACAUGUCUGGAUGGGUGUGUAGUGCUGUAGCUACAGACAUGCAGG